This 1571-nucleotide ribosomal RNA is filed under the name uncultured bacterium. RNAcentral describes it as "16S ribosomal RNA". It matches the Rfam family "Bacterial small subunit ribosomal RNA". The record is from RNAcentral.
AACGAACGCUGGCGGCGUGGCUAAGACAUGCAAGUCAAACGGUCCGGCACUUAUUUGUUUACAAAUGAUUGCCGGAUAGUGGCGAAAGGGUUAGUAAUAGAUAGGUAACGUACCCUGUGCUUCGGAAUAGCGUCUCCCGCACCUAUUUUGCGAUCUCUCUUUAGAAUGUUGUGGCUGAUUUCCAUACCAGUUAUGGUCUUUUGGUCAAUGGUGGGGAGAUUUCAAAAUAGGUGCGGGAUUCCGAAAGGGUCGGUAAUACCGAAUAAUAUCGCUUGUCGAUGGUCAAGCGAGCAAAGAUUUAUCGGCACGGGAGCGGCCUAUCUCCUAUCAGCUUGUUGGUGAGGUAACGGCUCACCAAGGCAGCGACGGGUAGCGGGACUGAGAGGUUGGCCCGCAACAUCGGGACUGAGACACUGCCCGGACCUCCACGGAGGGCUGCAGUAACGAAUCUUGCGCAAUGGGCGAAAGCCUGACGCAGCGACGCCGCGUGCGGGAGGAAGUCCCUCGGGAUGUAAACCGCUGUCAGGGGUAAGAAAGUCCGCUUCGGCGGAUUGAUCUAACCCAAAGGAAGUCACGGCUAACUUCGUGCCAGCAGCCGCGGUAAGACGAAGGUGGCGAGCGUUGUUCGGUGUUACUGGGCUUAAAGCGUGUGUAGGCGGGUUGGUUAGCGUCUUGUGAAAUCCCUCGGCUUAACCGAGGAAUGGCUGGGCGAACUGCCAACCUUGAGGCAGGUAGGGGCGCAUGGAACUCUUGGUGGAGCGGUGGAAUGCGUAGAUAUCAAGAGGAACGCCGAUGGAGAAAUCAGUGCGCUGGGCCUGUCUGACGCUGAUACACGAAAGCGUGGGGAGCGAACGGGAUUAGAUACCCCGGUAGUCCACGCUGUAAACGAUGUCUACUAGGUCGUGGAGGUUCUGACACCUGCACGGCCGAAGCAAAAGUGUUAAGUAGACCGCCUGGGGAGUACGGUCGCAAGGCUAAAACUCAAAGGAAUUGACGGGGGCUCACACAAGCGGUGGAGCAUGUGGAUCAAUUCGAAGCAACGCGCAGAACCUUAUCUGGGUUUGACAUGCUUGGAUGCUUGCCGAGAAACCGGUUAAGCUGCCCUUCGGGGUGAAACUUGCACAGGUGCUGCAUGGCUGUCGUCAGCUCGUGUCGUGAGAUGUCGCCCUUACCUCCUCUAACGAGCGAAACCCUUGCCGUUAGUUGCCAGCGGGUCAUGCCGGGGACUCUAGCGGGACUGCCGGUGUUAAACCGGAGGAAGGUGGGGACGACGUCAAGUCAUCAUGGCCUUUAUGCCCAGGGCCUCACACGUGCUACAAUGGCGGCAACAAAGCGACGCAAGACCGUGAGGUGGAGCAAAUCGCAAAAAUGCUGCCCCAGUUCGGAUUGCAGGCUGGCAACUCGCCUGCAUGAAGUUGGAAUCGCUAGUAAUCGCGUAUCAGCUACGACGCGGUGAAUGUGUUCCUGAGCCUUGUACUCACCGCCCGUCAAGUGAUGGGAGUUGGGAGUACCCGAAGUCGGGUUGCUAACCCUUCGGGGAGGCGCCUGCCGACGGUAAGCCCGAUGACUGG